UCUGCGAAGAUGGAAUCAUUGCAUCUUUUUACAGGAAGGUGAAAUCGAAGAACUGCACGAACUUGCGAAUCAGUGCGACGCUGCUGCACAAGACAGCCAUGGUCAGGACCCCCACUAAGCGUUAGGAUGAAGUAUCCAGGGAAGAGGCCACAACAAGUGGAGCCUUCGAAGACCAACAAGUUUGUGUACAGUUGAAUGUACGCAUGUCACCCACUGGAGAUGAUUUUUUAAUAAAAUGUAGUGUACACGUCUA
This is a long non-coding RNA of Ornithodoros turicata, 253 nucleotides long. RefSeq lists it as uncharacterized. Lineage: Eukaryota; Metazoa; Arthropoda; Arachnida; Ixodida; Argasidae. The transcript has 2 exons. The record is from RefSeq and is a predicted model, not a curated record.